GUCGUUUCGAUGUAUAAAGUAUGAUCAUCGAAUUUUUGUUAUGUUUUACCGGCCCCCUUCAACAAAAACAGCACCCAUAUGCAGUGGUUGAUUUUAUCGUAAUUCUGCGGAAUUCUGAACUAUAAGUAUUACGAGUAUAUUAUAUUUCAAAGGUAUUAUUCCAAAUAGAUACCUGUUCUCAGAUGACAUUUUAUUAAAAUUAUAUUGGUGUCUUGAGGGUUCAAACACUCUUCCCCCCCAAAAAAAAAAAAAUUAUCACUACCCAUAUGAAUCCUCGACUGAUAUGAGUUUUUGUUUUCGAAAAAAAUAAUGAGCUUGAUUUACAAAUUCAUAUAAAUACCAGAAAAAUGGGCCUUCGCGAAAAACUGUAAAUUAUCAUUACUUACAUCGGUUCUUCUUUAGUUUUUUCUCAUUUAAAUCGGUUUUUAAAAGAUACAGAAACAGGCAAUAUAUCUAAAUGGGUAGGUACCGUAUGAGUUUACGAGAAAAACUUAAAAGCCGCAAAGACUUCUCAAAUUUGACGGCCAGACGACUCACUGCACAAUAACUGUGUAGCCUAUAAAUUACACUCAGUAAAUACUAAACCACCCUCAGUAAUCAAAGUAGUCAGAGUCGAUACCUAUAAGCAUUGAUAUCUAUUACUAUUUUUUACACUAUAAUGUUUGUAAAAAUAUGUCUAAGUUCGUGAAAAAUUCAAGUUCGUUUUUUUAUGUGAAAAAAAUUAACAUUCGCAAAAAUUCCAAUCUCCGUAAAAAAAA
Molecule: non-coding RNA, 758 nt
Organism: Cinara cedri
Lineage: Eukaryota; Metazoa; Arthropoda; Insecta; Hemiptera; Aphididae
Source: the annotation of a GenBank genome assembly